UAGGGAAUCUUCCGCAAUGGACGCAAGUCUGACGGAGCAACGCCGCGUGAGUGAAGAAGGAUUUCGGUUCGUAAAACUCUGUUGUUAGAGAAGAACAGCGCAUAGAGUAACUGUUAUGCGUGUGACGGUAUCUAACCAGAAAGCCACGGCUAACUACGUGCCAGCAGCCGCGGUAAUACGUAGGUGGCAAGCGUUGUCCGGAUUUAUUGGGCGUAAAGCGAGCGCAGGCGGUCAAUUAAGUCUGAUGUGAAAGCCCCCGGCUCAACCGGGGAGGGUCAUUGGAAACUGGUUGACUUGAGUGCAGAAGAGGAGAGUGGAAUUCCAUGUGUAGCGGUGAAAUGCGUAGAUAUAUGGAGGAACACCAGUGUCGAAGGCGACUCUCUGGUCUGUAACUGACGCUGAGGCUCGAAAGCGUGGGUAGCAAACAGG
RNAcentral lists this ribosomal RNA (429 nucleotides) under Bacteroidota bacterium. RNAcentral's name for it is "Bacteroidetes bacterium partial 16S ribosomal RNA". It matches the Rfam family "Bacterial small subunit ribosomal RNA", at positions 355 to 776 of the family's 1533-position model. The record is from RNAcentral. Lineage: Bacteria; Pseudomonadati; Bacteroidota.